UAGUUGCAUGUGUAUGUAUAUACAUGGUGAUUGUCUAAAUACGAAGUCAUUCCCACCUCAGUCGCAAUGGCAUCUCUAAAACUGUCCCUGGUGCUUGUCCUGUACGUGACGCUGACGCAUGAAUGUCAACCUCCUGACUGCGACAGAGUUGACUGCGGCUCUUGUGGAAAUGCGUGCUGUGGCCUAGAGGUGUACUGGCCUGCAGACACAUUGUCAAUCUACAAUACAAUGGUUACCGGUUUAAAGCGAGGU
Molecule: long non-coding RNA, 252 nt
Organism: Liolophura sinensis
Lineage: Eukaryota; Metazoa; Mollusca; Polyplacophora; Chitonida; Chitonidae
Exons: 3
Source: RefSeq, a predicted model, not a curated record